CAGAGAGGUCAGGGUGUCUGGUUGGUGUGACAGAGAGGUCAGGGUGUCUGGUUGGUGUGACAGAGAGGUCAGGGUGUCUGGUUGGUGUGACAGAGAGAGGGGUCAGGGUGUCUGGUUGGUGUGACAGAGAGGUCAGGGUGUCUGGUUGG
Oncorhynchus keta (chum salmon) is the source of this 149-nucleotide long non-coding RNA. RefSeq lists it as uncharacterized. Lineage: Eukaryota; Metazoa; Chordata; Actinopteri; Salmoniformes; Salmonidae. The transcript has 3 exons. The record is from RefSeq and is a predicted model, not a curated record.